GAUGAACGCUGGCGGCGUGCCUAAUACAUGCAAGUCGAGCGAACGGACGAGAAGCUUGCUUCUCUGAUGUUAGCGGCGGACGGGUGAGUAACACGUGGAUAACCUACCUAUAAGACUGGGAUAACUUCGGGAAACCGGAGCUAAUACCGGAUAAUAUUUUGAACCGCAUGGUUCAAAAGUGAAAGACGGUCUUGCUGUCACUUAUAGAUGGAUCCGCGCUGCAUUAGCUAGUUGGUAAGGUAACGGCUUACCAAGGCAACGAUGCAUAGCCGACCUGAGAGGGUGGUCGGCGACCCUGGAGCUGAGACACGGUCCAGGCUCCUACGGGAGGCACCAGUAGGGAAUCUUCCGCAAUGGGCGGAAGCCUGACGGAGCAACGCCGCGUGAGUGAUGAAGGUCUUCGGAUCGUAAAACUCUGUUAUGAGGGAAGAACAUAUGUGUAAGUAACUGUGCACAUCUUGACGGUACCUAAUCAGAAAGCCACGGCUAACUACGUG
This 497-nucleotide ribosomal RNA is filed under the name uncultured bacterium. Its description in RNAcentral is "partial 16S ribosomal RNA". It matches the Rfam family "Bacterial small subunit ribosomal RNA", at positions 28 to 507 of the family's 1533-position model. The record is from RNAcentral.